GGUUUGUGGCUCAGUAGUAGAGCACUUGCUUAGCAUGCAUGAGGCACUGGGUUCAAUCCCAGGCACCA
Molecule: transfer RNA, 68 nt
Filed under: Marmota monax (woodchuck)
Lineage: Eukaryota; Metazoa; Chordata; Mammalia; Rodentia; Sciuridae
Description: tRNA.Ala
Rfam family: tRNA (bases 7-62)
About the family: Transfer RNA (tRNA) molecules are approximately 80 nucleotides in length. Their secondary structure includes four short double-helical elements and three loops (D, anti-codon, and T loops). Further hydrogen bonds mediate the characteristic L-shaped molecular structure. tRNAs have two regions of fundamental functional importance: the anti-codon, which is responsible for specific mRNA codon recognition, and the 3' end, to which the tRNAs corresponding amino acid is attached (by aminoacyl-tRNA synthetases). tRNAs cope with the degeneracy of the genetic code in two manners: having more than one tRNA (with a specific anti-codon) for a particular amino acid; and 'wobble' base-pairing, i.e. permitting non-standard base-pairing at the 3rd anti-codon position.
Source: RNAcentral